Molecule: ribosomal RNA, 274 nt
Filed under: uncultured bacterium
Lineage: Bacteria
Description: partial 16S ribosomal RNA
Rfam family: Bacterial small subunit ribosomal RNA
Source: RNAcentral
AUACGGAGGGGGUUAGCGUUGUUCGGAAUUGCUGGGCGUAAAGCGCACGUAGGCGGAUUGGAAAGUUGGGGGUGAAAUCCCAGGGCUCAACCCUGGAACUGCCUCCAAAACUAACAGUCUAGAGUUCGAGAGAGGUGAGUGGAAUUCCAAGUGUAGAGGUGAAAUUCGUUGAUAUUAGGAGGAACACCAGUGGCGAAGGCGGCUCACUGGCUCGAUACUGACGCUCAGGUGCGAAAGCUUGGGGAGCAAACAGGAUUAGAAACCCCAGUAGUCC